UUUAAAUUGAGAGUUUGAUCCUGGCUCAGGACGAACGCUGGCGGCGUGCCUAACACAUGCAAGUCGAGCGAUGAAGUCCCUUCGGGGAUGGAUUAGCGGCGGACGGGUGAGUAACACGUGGGCAACCUGCCUCAAAGUGGGGGAUAGCCCUCCGAAAGGAGGAUUAA
This 167-nucleotide ribosomal RNA is filed under the name Clostridium tetanomorphum DSM 665. RNAcentral describes it as "partial 16S ribosomal RNA". It matches the Rfam family "Bacterial small subunit ribosomal RNA", at positions 1 to 166 of the family's 1533-position model. The record is from RNAcentral. Lineage: Bacteria; Bacillati; Bacillota; Clostridia; Eubacteriales; Clostridiaceae.